This 468-nucleotide long non-coding RNA is filed under the name Capra hircus (goat). RNAcentral's name for it is "lncRNA (ENSCHIG00000004485.1)". Lineage: Eukaryota; Metazoa; Chordata; Mammalia; Artiodactyla; Bovidae. The record is from RNAcentral.
GAGAAGCCAUGCUUGGAUUCAAAGGUUCCUACAUUACUGUCCUGCAAUUACAGGUAAUUUAUCAAGUUUUUCUCAUGUGUAACAGAUGAUGAUAAUAACACCUCUUUUAUUUCUUUAUUCCCCAUCAUACAGCUUGAAGGACCUUAGUUUCCCAACCAGUGAUCAAACCCAUGCCCGCUGAAGUGGAAACACGGAGUCUUAACCACUGGACUGCCAGGAAAAUCCCAACAUUUAUUUUUAAAGAGAAUAUUAACCAUCUGGCUUUGAAUAAAAUAAGCUGCUGGAUGUUGACAUUAUGGCUCCUGAUAAGAGAAAAAAAUCUGACAGAAGAAACUAUAGAUAUUUUGGUUCAGCAUUGCAGCUGGCACAGGUCCUGCCUAAGAAAUAAAAACUUGAUUUUGUAUAUUUAGAAUAUUUUUAAAUGCAAUAAUCAUUUUCGGAAAUAAAACAAGUUGUUUUCUGACUAAU